Molecule: ribosomal RNA, 271 nt
Filed under: uncultured prokaryote
Description: partial 16S ribosomal RNA
Rfam family: Bacterial small subunit ribosomal RNA
Source: RNAcentral
UACGUAGGUGGCAAGCGUUGUCCGGAAUUACUGGGUGUAAAGGGUGCGUAGGCGGCCCUUUAAGUCAGAUGUGAAAGCCCGCAGCUUAACUGCGGAAUUGCAUUUGAAACUGGAGGGCUUGAGUGUCGGAGAGGGUAGUGGAAUUCCCAGUGUAGCGGUGAAAUGCGUAGAUAUAUGGAGGAACACCAGUGGCGAAGGCGACUUACUGGUCUGUGAUUGACGCUGAGGCUCGAAAGCGUGGGUAGCGAACAGGAUUAGAUACCCCGGUAGU